UUCCGUAGGUGAACCUGCGGAAGGAUCAUUCACACGAAUCCAAUCUCAAACCGUGGACCUAACGAGGGUCUGGGACCUGCUGUGCCUUUGCGCCUCGGGACCCAGGUCCGAAGGACGCAGUCCCGUCCGUCCCACUUGCCAAACGGCGGGUGUUGCCCCGUAUCUACGGGUGCCCCCGCCGGGGAUGGGUCCCGCGCCGAGUGUUUCCGGCGCAGUGGAUAGGGGCCGUGUCGAUUUUUCUCAACUCCUACUCGCACCGAUGAGACAACUUAUAACAACUAAAACUUUCAGCGAUGGAUGCCUCGGCUUGGGUACCGAUGAAGGACGCAGCGAAAUGCGAUACGCAUUGUGAAUUGCAGAAUUCCGCGAAUCAAUAGGUUUCUGAACGCAUUCUGCACUUUCGGGGUCUACCCGGAAGUACGCCUGGUUCAGUGUUUCCUGUUCUUCGUGCCAGCCGCAUUGCGCGGUCAACUGGCGUUGUUGUGCGCUAACGGGUUUCGACCCCGCUGGCGCAUGAAUGGCAUCAGGGCUCGCUCCCGCUCGGUCAGGAUGAUCCCAGUCUCUGGGUUUUGUUAUGAUCGUCGGGGAGGCUCCGAGGGACCUGACGCUUCACUUUCCAUGCAAACCUGAACUCAGGCGAGGCUACCCGCUGAACUUAAGCAUAUCA
This 667-nucleotide ribosomal RNA is filed under the name uncultured eukaryote. RNAcentral's name for it is "eukaryotic LSU rRNA". The stretch from base 283 to 437 matches the Rfam family "5.8S ribosomal RNA". The record is from RNAcentral.